Molecule: ribosomal RNA, 330 nt
Filed under: uncultured bacterium
Lineage: Bacteria
Description: bacterial SSU rRNA
Rfam family: Bacterial small subunit ribosomal RNA
Source: RNAcentral
UCCGUAGGCGGUGUGGCAAGUCGGGGGUGAAAUCUCUGGGCUUAACUCAGAGACUGCCUCCGAAACUGCCGUGCUUGAGUGUGGGAGAGGCGCGUGGAAUUGCAGGUGUAGCGGUGAAAUGCGUAGAUAUCUGCAGGAACACCCGUGGCGAAAGCGGCGCGCUGGACCACAACUGACGCUGAGGGACGAAAGCUAGGGGAGCAAACAGGAUUAGAUACCCUGGUAGUCCUAGCCCUAAACGAUCAGGACUUGGGGUGUCUCGCGUCCGCGAGACGUCCCGGAGCUAACGCGUUAAGUCCUGCACCUGGGGAGUACGGUCGCAAGACUGAA